This is a long non-coding RNA of Corvus hawaiiensis (hawaiian crow), 3503 nucleotides long. RefSeq lists it as uncharacterized. The record is from RefSeq and is a predicted model, not a curated record. NCBI's taxonomy places the organism in Eukaryota, Metazoa, Chordata, Aves, Passeriformes, Corvidae. The transcript has 2 exons.
CGGGAGCACGCACCGCAUCCCGGAGCCUCCCGCCGGGAAUGGGGCGCGGGGAUCAGCUGCGGAGCCCUCUCGGGAGCAGCUGUUCAUAGCCGCGGUCUGAACCGGGGCUCAGGAUUAGCACCUCGUGACAGCGGGGCGGAAAAGACGCGCUGCCUUCGCGGUGUUUGCCGCUUCGUACGUCUGUCACUGCGUCCUUCUUCUGAAAGUUACCAGCCUACCCACAGGAGGAGGGAAAAUGCUUUUUUUCAUGUACAUCUUGAACUCUGCUUCUUCCAUGGUAUCUAAGCAUUUGCAAAUGAGUCAUAUUUUCCUAUAUCCUUGGUACAUAAACACGUGAGUGAACACAGUAAUAAACGUGAAUGAGCACAGCAAUGAUUUAAUGCAGAGAUUCUUGGCUUGCAUUUAUUCCUUGCUUACAUGACCAUGAAGCUACAGUCUCUUAUAAGAAACCAGUGGAUAUGAUGCUAGUGAGUGGAAGAAGGGAUAGUCUUGGACUGAGCCGCUGAGGAAGAAGAGCGGUGGGUUUAUCAGAAAUCUGAGUACUGUAGCAAAAAUUGGGGAGGAAAAUGAGCAUGUGAGGCAGCUGAUACUUCAUGGGUUAAUGCUAUAUACACAGUAACUCAUGAAGGCUUUAAGGGAAUUAAUGAAGUGGAGAAGACUGAAAAGAAGUCAAGUGGCUCUUGGUGAUAAAAAAUGGCCAGAUGUCAUCCUGGUUCACCUGAUGAAACAGGUUUGCAUGAAAGAAACUUGGAUCAAAAGAAAACCACUUAUGCUCCCCCUGCAUCCAUAGGAGAUGGUUCUGUUUCUGGAGAUCUUCCACUGUGGCCAAACUGGUCAUGGUGAAAAGUACAGCCUACAUGUCGUGAAGAGGGCUGUAUAUAUAAUUUCCUUGAAGAAGUAAGGCAGCAUCUGCCUCAAGCUGUGAUGGCCUAGAAAUAUUGAUUAACACAUCCAUGUAACUGAUACCAACAUUCCUUUACACUGCAGUAAAUAUGUCAGUUGUGGACAAGAUUUGCUCUAAUGAACUCUGCUUAUAAUGGACUUAUUUUAGUAAUUAAAUUCACAUUGACAGUAUAUGCAUCAUUAUUCAGAUACUUAGAAAUUCCUGCAGUGCAAUUAUCUGGUACUGAGACAUAAGUGGCCAUCUACUAUGCAUUUAAAUUUAAAGUUAGGAAGUAUUACAAAUGUUACAGAAAAACCACCACUAAUAAACUUUUGUGUUAAAAUAUUAUCGUUAAUAUAUUGCUCAUGAAAUCUCAGGUUGAAUUUAUUAUUCUGUUUGCUGCAGGAUCACGUUCUUCAUUGAAGUUCAGUGGGGUUUACCCAAGGCUGCUUUUUCUGGUGGUUUCUUUCCCUGCCUAUCCAAGCCUUCUGUGGGUUGAGGAACCUUUUCUGCUACUCCUGCCUUUCCAUCAGUCUUCUUUGCUGCUUGCUGGUUGCUUUUUGUAUCCUUUUCCACAGGGGGCAUUUCAUUUGGAUCAGGUGUCUCUUCUGUAGCAAUAAUUUCUUCUACGUGUGGCUUAAUAAAAUCUGAUUUAGGAGAAGUAAUAAAAUUUCUGAGUAAUCUUAAGUAACAAUAUUUACUGUGCUCAGCAACAUUUCUUUCACAUUAGUUAUGACCUUAUCAUGUUCUUUUCCUCUUUCCCUACCCAUAUAAAGAGAUUCAGUAUCACAUAUAACAUUACUACUUCUUAUGGAACCAAAACCAAGCCCAAGUCUUUAUGGCCUCUAAUUAAAAUGAUUAAGAGGUAGAUACUGGAAAACAUUUACAGGUACAGAAAUAAUUGUUUCCACUUAAGUCACCUAAUUUACAGGAUUGCUCAGAAAAGUCUACCAUACCAGAAAGGCAAGAGAUGAAGGGAAUGCUGUAAAAUAUUUGUUCUUGCCUUAGGAGCAAAAAGGGGGCGGGGGAGGGGGGGGAAGUAUAAAAUGUUCUGUCAGAAAUGAUAUAACAUGUAUGCAAAGAAAAAGUACUUAGGCAAAAAUAUGUAAAACAUGUUAUGAUAUUGUUGGAAUUAAAGACUAAUUUGGAGUUAAAAUGCUCUAUAUGAGAGAGUUGUAAUUGGGAAGAGUAAAUCAGUGUCGAAGUAGUAAUUAUAGUAAGAGUCCAAAAGAACAGUAAAAUAAUAUACAAGUAAUAUACAAGAAAGCUGAGUCACCAGAGAGCUUUUAAUUUUCUACCCUUUCUCUAAAUGAGACAAAAAAUGGUCGCUUAUAAUUCCAACUUUACCAUUCCAUGUGGACAUAAAACUAAGAGAGAAUAAUUGAUGAAUCUCAAGUAGUGGCUAAACAGUCAGGGUUUUCUAAAAUCCCUAGGCAUUUGGCGUCCCUGAAUCAGCAAGGCCUUAUUUUUGGUGAAAUAUCAAACAUCUAGCUGCUGCAAUGAGUCUCACUUUGGAAAAUAACACCAUCUGUGUAUGUACACAUGCUUACAAAGUCUUCCCUCUGCAUUCAGAAAUUUGAAAGGAUUUAUUAUGACUUAAAAAGCUUUCAUCAGCCAGGUUAGUCAAGGUGACAACUUGCAGUGGAAGUAGAAAAGGUGGUUUAAAAAUAUUGAUUUAAGUCUCUCUCACUUAGGCCUAACCUGGUAAUUCAUACUUUGCAUCUGUUGUUGAUUGAAAGUGUGCUUACUAUAAACUUGAUUGAUUGGGACCUAUGAAAUCUUGAUUGGCACAGACAAUUAACUCCAUAACAAUUUAACAAUUUUUUCAUUGGAAUAGAAGACUGUAACAGUGAAAGCACUCACCUUUCUUUUCCCCUUCCUUCUGUUUGCUUGCUGUCAUUGUUUUUUUCUUUUUAGAUACAGUUUUAUUAUUUUGAUUGUGUCCUUGGACUGUAUCAGUCUGCCCUGACACAGGCAUCACAAUCACCUGAAGCAAAGCAAGAACAAAACGUGCACAAGCAAGGCAUGUGGAUGCAUCACAAAGUCAGGCUGAAAUCACCAUAACUGAAUCCCUGGAAGCAACACCUUUUGAAGCAGCUAUUACUCUAACUUUCAGGGACACAUACAUCUGUCAAAGCAAAAAAAAAGUAGUAUCCAGCCUGGGAGGUGACCCACGUGUAUUCCCUGGCAGUUCUGCCAAAAGGAGGGAGGCAGGAGGACAGAUUUUUCAAAAUAAAGUGGUAGAAAUAAACUGUUGCCAAAAUGCAAUCAUUAUUAAAAAUAAUACUAAGUAAUAAACAUCAGUUAUUGCAAAGAGCGAGUCAUAUUCUUGUUUGCACUCUGGAGGAUGGAAGAGCUGUGACACUGUUAUUUGUAAGUUAUAUGUCGUGGGACAAAUAUGGAGUGACCUGCAUAUCAUCCUUGAAUUGGCUUCAUGUCCUACUAAGAAAAAUUAUAAAAUAAUUUUGCAUUAGUUCUUUGAACUCGGGAAGCUUGCUGUAUCUCAAAUUUCAGAUCUUCUCAUGAUUAUAUUUUGAAAUUCAAAAAUUAGGCCUUGUUACUUUGUUUUACUCAGCUGCUGUGAUAAUAAUAAAUAAUCUGAACUUUUUUUUGUAACAGA